AACGAACGCUGGCGGCAUGCCUAACACAUGCAAGUCGAACGGUGCCUUCGGGCACAGUGGCGCACGGGUGAGUAACACGUGGGAACCUGCCUUUCGGUUCGGAAUAACGUUUGGAAACGAACGCUAACACCGGAUACGCCCUUCGGGGGAAAGUUUACGCCGAGAGAGGGGCCCGCGUCGGAUUAGGUAGGUGGUGAGGUAACGGCUCACCAAGCCGACGAUCCGUAGCUGGUCUGAGAGGAUGAUCAGCCACACUGGGACUGAGACACGGCCCAGACUCCUACGGGAGGCAGCAGUGGGGAAUAUUGGACAAUGGGCGCAAGCCUGAUCCAGCAAUGCCGCGUGAGUGAUGAAGGCCUUAGGGUUGUAAAGCUCUUUCGCACGCGACGAUGAUGACGGUAGCGUGAGAAGAAGCCCCGGCUAACUUCGUGCCAGCCGCCGCUGUAA
This 447-nucleotide ribosomal RNA is filed under the name uncultured bacterium. RNAcentral describes it as "partial 16S ribosomal RNA". It matches the Rfam family "Bacterial small subunit ribosomal RNA", at positions 29 to 523 of the family's 1533-position model. The record is from RNAcentral.